CGACCAACGCCAUGGCAGGGUAGCCAAGUCCGGCAGGGAUAAACGCUGAAGGCAUCUAAGCGUGAAGCCCCCCUCAAGAUGAGAUAUCCCCCACAAAAGUGGAUAAGACCCCUUGAAGACGACAAGGUAGAUAGGGUAUAGGUGUAAGUGCAGCAAUGCAUUGAGCUGAAUACUACUAAUCGGUCGAAGGCUUAUCCUG
Molecule: non-coding RNA, 199 nt
Filed under: Lachnospiraceae bacterium A4
Lineage: Bacteria; Bacillati; Bacillota; Clostridia; Lachnospirales; Lachnospiraceae
Description: Bacterial large subunit ribosomal RNA
Rfam family: Bacterial large subunit ribosomal RNA
Source: Rfam by way of RNAcentral